RNAcentral lists this ribosomal RNA (336 nucleotides) under Triticum aestivum (bread wheat). RNAcentral's name for it is "partial small subunit ribosomal RNA". The record is from RNAcentral. Lineage: Eukaryota; Viridiplantae; Streptophyta; Magnoliopsida; Poales; Poaceae.
AUGCAGAAGGCAUGGAGACUUCAUCACGAGGCAAGGUUCUGGGACAUGGGCGACAACAUCUUCGUAGUCCACUUUGGUAGUGAAGGAGACUGGAGGCAUGCAAUGUCUAGCGGACCGUGGCAAUAUGAUUUCAACGUGCUGGUUCUAAAGGAGUACGAGAGCAACAUACGACCCUCAGAGAUGGUCUUCGACAAAGUGGAUGUGUGGGUUAGAGUGACAGAUCUACCACCCGGGAAGAGAACUGAUGCAUUUGGUAGAGCUCUUGGCAAUUGGCUAGGUGAGGUUGUCAAGGUGGAUGUGGAUAAAGAUGGUAUGGCCAGAGGUAAUCAGCUGUGA